UUCCGGUUGAUCCUGCCGGAGGCGACCGCUUUGGGAGUUCGAUUAAGCCAUGCGAGUCGUGAAUCUUAGGGACUCGGCAUACUGCUCAGUAACACGUGGAUAACCUGCCCUAUCGUCUGGAAUAACCUCGGGAAACUGAGAACAAGGCCGGAUAGUUCACAAUGCCUGGAACGGUUUGUGAAUCAAGGUAGGAUGGGUCUGCGGCGUAUCAGGUUGUAGGGGGUGUAAAGGACCCCCUAGCCUUCGACGCGUACGGGUGUUGGGAGACAUAGCCCGGAGAUGGAUUCUGAGACACGAAUCCAGACCCUACGGGGUGCAGCAGGCGCGAAAACUUCACACUGCAGGAAACUGUGAUGAGGGAACUCCUAGUGCAUGCACUAUGUGUAUGUAGAUCCUACUCUUAACAAGUAGAGGGAAAGGGCUGGGAAAGACCGGUGCCAGCCGCCGCGGUAAUACCGGCAGCUCAAGUGGUCGUCGCUUUUAUUGGGCCUAAAACGUCCGUAGCCUGUUUGGUAAAUCUGUGGGUAAAUCAAUCCGCUCAACGGAUUGAAUUCUGCAGAGACUGCCAGACUAGGGACCGGGAGAGGUGUGGGGUACUCGAGGGGUAGGGGUAAAAUCCUGUCAUCCUUCGAGGACCACCAGUUGCGAAGGCGCCACACUGGAACGGAUCCGACGGUCAGGGACGAAGCCUAGGGGCACGAACCGGAUUAGAUACCCGGGUAGUCCUAGGUGUAAACGCUGUGAACUUGGUGUCGGGGGUCCGCAAGGGGUCCCCGGUGCCGGAGUGAAGAUGUUAAGUUCACUGCCUGGGGAGUACGGUCGCAAGGCUGAAACUUAAAGGAAUUGGCGGGGGAGCACUGCAACGGGAGGAGCGUGCGGUUUAAUUGGAUCAACGCCGGA
This 900-nucleotide ribosomal RNA is filed under the name uncultured archaeon. RNAcentral's name for it is "bacterial SSU rRNA". It matches the Rfam family "Archaeal small subunit ribosomal RNA", at positions 1 to 922 of the family's 1478-position model. The record is from RNAcentral.